This 911-nucleotide ribosomal RNA is filed under the name uncultured bacterium. RNAcentral's name for it is "bacterial SSU rRNA". It matches the Rfam family "Bacterial small subunit ribosomal RNA", at positions 1 to 915 of the family's 1533-position model. The record is from RNAcentral.
CCCUUAGAGUUUGAUCCUGGCUCAGGAUGAACGCUGGCGGCGUGCCUAACACAUGCAAGUCGAACGAGCAAAUACAUUUGAUUUCUUCGGAAUGAAGAUGUAGGCGCGAGUGGCGGACGGGUGAGUAACGCGUGAGUAAUCUGCCUCAUACAGGAGAAUAACACUAAGAAAUUGGUGCUAAUACUCCAUAAGCUCACAUUAUGACAUCAUAGAGUGAGAAAAGAUUUAUCGGUAUGAGAGGAGCUCGCGUCUGAUUAGCUAGUUGGUGGGGUAACGGCCUACCAAGGCAACGAUCAGUAGCCGACCUGAGAGGGUGAUCGGCCACAUUGGAACUGAGACACGGUCCAAACUCCUACGGGAGGCAGCAGUGGGGAAUAUUGCACAAUGGGGGAAACCCUGAUGCAGCAACGCCGCGUGAAGGAAGAAGUAUUUCGGUAUGUAAACUUCUAUCGACAGGGAAGAAACAAAUGACGGUACCUGAAUAAGAAGCACCGGCUAAAUACGUGCCAGCAGCCGCGGUAAUACGUAUGGUGCAAGCGUUAUCCGGAUUUACUGGGUGUAAAGGGUGAGUAGGCGGUCAUGCAAGUCAUAUGUGAAAUGUCAGGGCUUAACCUUGGCGCUGCAUAAGAAACUGUAUGACUAGAGUGCAGGAGAGGUAAGCGGAAUUCCUAGUGUAGCGGUGAAAUGCGUAGAUAUUAGGAAGAACACCGGUGGCGAAGGCGGCUUACUGGACUGUUACUGACGCUGAGUCACGAAAGCGUGGGGAGCAAACAGGAUUAGAUACCCUGGUAGUCCACGCCGUAAACGAUGAGUGCUAGGUGUUGGCCAGAGAUGGUCGGUGCCGCAGCAAACGCAAUAAGCACUCCACCUGGGGAGUACGACCGCAAGGUUGAAACUCAAAGGAAUUGACG